Molecule: long non-coding RNA, 704 nt
Filed under: Homo sapiens (human)
Lineage: Eukaryota; Metazoa; Chordata; Mammalia; Primates; Hominidae
Description: HSALNT0202544
Source: RNAcentral
GAUAUGUUUGGCAUAUCUUGAAGAAGCAGAAACAUCACUGAAUAUCCAUCAGAUUGCAAGCCCUGCUAUUCCUCCUUCCCUUCUCCUCAACAUUUAGGUAAACUGUGAAAAUCUAAAAAUAUGAAAACUAAGUCUUCAGAGCGGCAGCAAUGAAUCAAACCUAUUACUGAGACUUUAAGCCUCUCCAGCUGCAUGUGAAGGAGGUGUGAAAAAAUGAAAGUUCAAUAAUCUAAAAAAAAGUAGUGCCUUUCCGCACUUUGUGGGAUGGUGGUGAUUGUGGAGCACACAAAGUAGUAUUCACUCAGUGGGUGAUUUUUGCAGUAGCAGUCUGAUCUAAGUCUAAAUCUCAAUCCAAAAUUAAAACUCAAGAUGUGUUUCAUUGCUUCUGAGCCAACAUUUUUCUGAACUGUAUUCUCUAGCUAAGCUCUUCUAUGUCUCUGAUCAUCUUGUGAUUUUACCUUAUUUCAAGUGAAAGUCUUUAGAACAUCCCUUUUGAAAAAAAAUGUGCAAUUUUAAAACACACCUGCCUGGAUGAUUGCUUCUUAUUUUCAUUACCUCAUUUGGAAAAUCAUAAAUUGUCUCUUAUAUAAGAUGGAAUAGUAAAAUGGAGUGGAAAAUGUCUCCAGAAUUUCAUGUUUCUUACUGUGUUAUCCUGGGAGAUCCUCAAUUUACAGAAUAUAGCUACAAGGAUUUUUCAGUCUUUU